This 497-nucleotide ribosomal RNA is filed under the name uncultured bacterium. RNAcentral's name for it is "partial 16S ribosomal RNA". It matches the Rfam family "Bacterial small subunit ribosomal RNA", at positions 28 to 507 of the family's 1533-position model. The record is from RNAcentral.
GAUGAACGCUGGCGGCGUGCCUAAUACAUGCAAGUCGAGCGAACAGACGAGGAGCUUGCUCCUUUGACGUUAGCGGCGGACGGGUGAGUAACACGUAGGUAACCUACUUAUAAGACUGGGAUAACUUCGGGAAACCGGAGCUAAUACCGGAUAAUAUUUCGAACCGCAUGGUUCGAUAGUGAAAGAUGGCUUUGCUAUCACUUAUAGAUGGACCUGCGCCGUAUUAGCUAGUUGGUAAGGUAACGGCUUACCAAGGCAACGAUACGUAGCCGACCUGAGAGGGUGAUCGGCCACACUGGAACUGAGACACGGUCCAGACUCCUACGGGAGGCAGCAGUAGGGAAUCUUCCGCAAUGGGCGAAAGCCUGACGGAGCAACGCCGCGUGAGUGAUGAAGGUCUUCGGAUCGUAAAACUCUGUUAUUAGGGAAGAACAAACGUGUAAGUAACUGUGCACGUCUUGACGGUACCUAAUCAGAAGGCCACGGCUAACUACGUG